UAGUGGCAGACGGGUGAGUAACGCGUGGGAAGCUACCUUGUGGUAGGGGACAACAGUUGGAAACGACUGCUAAUACCCUAUGAGCCCUAUGGGGGAAAGAUUUAUCGCCAUGAGAUGUGCCCGCGUUAGAUUAGCUAGUUGGUAAGGUAAUGGCUUACCAAGGCGACGAUCUAUAGCUGGUCUGAGAGGAUGAUCAGCCACACUGGGACUGAGACACGGCCCAGACUCCUACGGGAGGCAGCAGUGGGGAAUAUUGGACAAUGGGGGCAACCCUGAUCCAGCCAUGCCGCGUGUGUGAUGACGGCCUUAGGGUUGUAAAGCACUUUCAGCAGUGAAGAUGAUGACAUUAACUGCAGAAGAAGCCCCGGCUAACUUCGUGCCAGCAGCCGCGGUAAUACGAAGGGGGCUAGCGUUGUUCGGAAUCACUGGGCGUAAAGAGUACGUAGGCGGACUGAUAAGUUAGGGGUGAAAUCCCAAGGCUCAACCUUGGAACUGCCUUUGAUACUGUCAGUCUUGAGAUCGAGAGAGGUGAGUGGAACUCCGAGUGUAGAGGUGAAAUUCGUAGAUAUUCGGAAGAACACCAGUGGCGAAGGCGGCUCACUGGCUCGAUACUGACGCUGAGGUACGAAAGCGUGGGGAGC
RNAcentral lists this ribosomal RNA (641 nucleotides) under Pseudovibrio sp. AU115_Ted1_MB. RNAcentral's name for it is "bacterial SSU rRNA". It matches the Rfam family "Bacterial small subunit ribosomal RNA", at positions 93 to 769 of the family's 1533-position model. The record is from RNAcentral. Lineage: Bacteria; Pseudomonadati; Pseudomonadota; Alphaproteobacteria; Hyphomicrobiales; Stappiaceae.